UGGUGGAGUGAUUUGUCUGGUUAAUUCCGUUAACGAACGAGACCUCGACCUGCUAAAUAGUUCGAUGAAUCUUUGGAUUUGUACGGUACUUCUUAGAGGGACUAUCGGUGGUUCAGCCGAUGGAAGUUCGAGGCAAUAACA
This 141-nucleotide ribosomal RNA is filed under the name uncultured eukaryote. RNAcentral describes it as "partial 18S ribosomal RNA". It matches the Rfam family "Eukaryotic small subunit ribosomal RNA", at positions 1299 to 1458 of the family's 1831-position model. The record is from RNAcentral.